This is a non-coding RNA of Picea glauca (white spruce), 82 nucleotides long. Lineage: Eukaryota; Viridiplantae; Streptophyta; Pinopsida; Pinales; Pinaceae. The record is from Rfam.
GUGGCUAGGGCUGAGUGGUUAAGGCUUGUGCCUGGUAAGUACAUGGGGUUUCCUUGUGAGAGUUUGAAUCUCUCAGGCGAUG